GUGAGGAAUUUUCCGCAAUGGGCGAAAGCCUGACGGAGCAAUGCCGCGUGAAGGAUGAAGGCCUAUGGGUUGUAAACUUCUCUUCUCAGAAAAGAAUUAUGACGGUAUCUGAGGAAUAAGCAUCGGCUAACUCUGUGCCAGCAGCCGCGGUAAGACAGAGGAUGCAAGCGUUAUCCGGAAUGAUUGGGCGUAAAGCGUCUGUAGGUUGUUUAAAAAGUAUUCUGUCAAAGAUUAGGGCUUAACCCUAGAUAGGCAGAAUAAACUUUUAAGCUAGAGUCUGGUAGAGGCAGAGGGAAUUCCCGGUGGAGCGGUGAAAUGCGUAGAUAUCGGGAGGAACACCAAAGGCGAAGGCACUCUGCUGGGCCAAUACUAACACUGAGAGACGAAAGCGAGGGGAGCAAAUGGGAUUAGAAACCCUGGUAGUCC
This 426-nucleotide ribosomal RNA is filed under the name uncultured bacterium. Its description in RNAcentral is "partial 16S ribosomal RNA". It matches the Rfam family "Bacterial small subunit ribosomal RNA", at positions 354 to 796 of the family's 1533-position model. The record is from RNAcentral.